Cephus cinctus (wheat stem sawfly) is the source of this 1312-nucleotide long non-coding RNA. RefSeq lists it as uncharacterized. The transcript is spliced from 3 exons. Lineage: Eukaryota; Metazoa; Arthropoda; Insecta; Hymenoptera; Cephidae. The record is from RefSeq and is a predicted model, not a curated record.
AUAAUCGUUCCCUGGGCUUGAGGGUAUUCGCACGAUUCUUCUACACGCCCACGCGACUCCAGAGGAUCAACCUGAGGAUGAUCUUUGGAUACAUACAUAAGUACUGACAACCAGCAACGUACAACACACGUAGAUACUCAUUAGAUCAGGUUAGCAUCCAUCCAUCCAACAUUACCGAUGUGACUCCGAGCAUGAGUGAAACCAGGUCGACUCGUUCAGGAUGCUGGUACGGGUUGGAAGAUGAUGGUCGAUGCUGGGAGCCACCAGGAGGGUCAGAGAAUAUUUUCUUCCAGGGCACGGACCAUGUAAUUAGACGGACGCUUCGUGGGUACUGUACACGCAACCAUAAAGGGUCGUACUUGCCCAGGUACCUACCCGCCUCUCUCCUUUGCUCUCUGCUUUGCUCUUCUGCUCCCUUGCCUCCUCCGUCUAUUCUUGAGCACGUGCGGACAACCGGAGACACUAGAAAGGGAAAAGAUACUUGAUGAACAAUAAAAGAAAAAGUAUGAAGAACUGCUGGGUACUUGCUGAAAGUAUUCUUACGCACGUACCUGCCUACGCCAAAGGGCGCCGAGUCAAGCACGAGUCCUGUUAACGAGCUUGAAGUAAGAACUUUAUAGUACUUAAAUCUAGUUGCAUUGCUACAGUACGUAUACUUGCUGGUACUGUUAUUCAGCGCUUCAUUCUUGCACUCUAUAUUUCCCACAAUAUUGUAUCUGUGGACAGACAAAUAUUACGUAUAUGCCUGGUGACAUUUGCUUGAGGAUUUGUUUGCGUCAAAUUUAUUCGGAAUUCAUAAACACACACUGUUUUCCUCAUAUACUGUGGUACCCUACGGUGGCCAAUUGGCUACGGAUAAUUCGGUGGCCACCAUGAAAUCCCCAGGAAUUUUUGUAUUCGCAUCGAGAUUACGUAAGGCCUGGGUUACGGUACGAGAAAAUUCAUAUAGAUAGGAAUGCAGAAUAUUGCCGGCAGUCUGUCACAUUCGAUUCGGUGAGACGAGCGAUAUGCGUCCGGCGACCCUAUGAAUCCUCCUCGUUUUAUUACAUAUCCUAUGGUUUCCCCGUGUAGAUAUCAGACAAUAAACUGUGACUGUUUGGGAUUUGUGGCCGAGUAUUAAUCUCCCUGUAUUUAUGGACGACGAUGGUUCUACUAGGGCCGAAAUGGAUGGAUUUUCCUUUGGCUACGAGGACGACUCAACUGGUACAUCUGAUGUUUUUUAAUACAAUUUUGAGACUUCGGAUUUGUAAUAAAAAAAAUUGGUAGUACCAAAAAUAAAUUAGUAACGGUAUACGUCGUUCCAAUUGUAAAA